GUCUACGGCCAUACCACCCUGAACGCGCCCGAUCUCGUCUGAUCUCGGAAGCUAAGCAGGGUCGGGCCUGGUUAGUACUUGGAUGGGAGACAGUAGAAU
RNAcentral lists this ribosomal RNA (99 nucleotides) under Myotis lucifugus (little brown bat). Lineage: Eukaryota; Metazoa; Chordata; Mammalia; Chiroptera; Vespertilionidae. The record is from RNAcentral.